GGGCCUAUAGCUCAGUUGGUUAGAGCAGGAGACUCAUAAUCUCUUGGUCCGGGGUUCGAGUCCCUGUGGGCCCACCA
This 77-nucleotide transfer RNA is filed under the name bacterium. Its description in RNAcentral is "tRNA-Ile". It matches the Rfam family "tRNA". Rfam says of the family: Transfer RNA (tRNA) molecules are approximately 80 nucleotides in length. Their secondary structure includes four short double-helical elements and three loops (D, anti-codon, and T loops). RNAcentral also lists the same sequence under 6 other names. The record is from RNAcentral.